Long non-coding RNA from Carassius gibelio (silver crucian carp), 452 nucleotides. RefSeq lists it as uncharacterized. NCBI's taxonomy places the organism in Eukaryota, Metazoa, Chordata, Actinopteri, Cypriniformes, Cyprinidae. The transcript is spliced from 5 exons. The record is from RefSeq and is a predicted model, not a curated record.
GCAGAUGCUUCCUCGGCACUUCAACUGUCUGAAAGCUGCAGCGGAUCUAAAUUUCACAGACUGAUUAACACGUCUCCGGUGGGGCAUGCAGCUGUCGUGGGGUCCUCGUGUUAUCAGCAGCAGAGUUGUAACCAAGCGUUUUUGUUACCUGGGGUCUUCAGAUACAGGAUCCGUCUGGCUAUGUGGAGAAAAGGAGAGAAGUGGUACUGAGAUGCCUGAUUGAGUACAUAUGGGAGGGAAAGGAAGACCUCAUAAGUGUCCACCAUAGUCAUGAUGAAACAGAGGUGCACGCUGAGCUUGGCAGUUCCCCACUGAAAAUAUACACGUGCCAUCAGCCAAACACGAUUGGGAUUAUCACAGUUGAAGGACAGCCCAUGGUCAGAGGUGUGCCAAACCUGUAGAAAACCUCCUCUUUGGACUUGUCUAUGCCCACAACCUCUAAUAUCACUCAA